AUAAAAUAUAUACAUUUUUUCGUUCAAAAAUAUCUUUUUGUUUGCACUUAAUAUAACAUCACACAUCUAUUUGCCUAAACCAAAAUAUAUUGUGUUUUGGCAUUGUAUUUUGACAACAAAUUUAAAAUUUAUCCAAUAACGUAUGCGUUUUUCGUGAUAUACAUUAAAUAAAACCAAGCACAUGAGUUUAUGUUGAAUGGAUUUUGAUAUUUUGGCAAUAUUUUAAUUUGCAUAUAAAUCUCUUUGGUUAUAUGCUGGUACAUUGGUGAAAUGGUUCUCAUACAAUCAUAAAUCAUAUGAUACCAUUUCCAGAUAUUCACGAUAAUAUUUCGAAACCAAAAGACUUUACUUUAUAUAUGUAUAUGUUUCACUACAUUAUCUUAAGAUCAAUUUGUCGCAGCCAAGCAAUUUACAUUAAAUAACUUUUUAUCAACAAAUAUCACCCAAUAACACCACCAUGAGUAUAAUGACAACGUAUAAUCAUAUCAUAUGCAAUACUGUACCAAAUAUUGCACAUAAUAUAGAUGGACAUCAACUGUC
Molecule: long non-coding RNA, 540 nt
Filed under: Drosophila guanche
Lineage: Eukaryota; Metazoa; Arthropoda; Insecta; Diptera; Drosophilidae
Source: RNAcentral